This 762-nucleotide ribosomal RNA is filed under the name uncultured bacterium. Its description in RNAcentral is "bacterial SSU rRNA". It matches the Rfam family "Bacterial small subunit ribosomal RNA", at positions 569 to 1340 of the family's 1533-position model. The record is from RNAcentral.
CCGCAGGUGGCUUGCCGCAUCUUCUGUUAAAUCUUCGGGCCCAACCCGGAGGCUGCGGAAGAGAUGGGUAAGCUAGAGAUCGGAAGAGGCAAACGGAAUUGCUGGUGUAGGGGUUAAAUCCAUUAAUAUCAGCAAGAACACCAAAUGCGAAGGCAGUUUGCUAGGACGAAUCUGACACUCAUGGACGAAAGCGUGGGGAGCGAAUGGGAUUAGAUACCCCAGUAGUCCACGCCGUAAACGCUGAAUGCUAAGCAUUGGGAGUAUCGACCCUCUCAGUGCUGUUAAUUUAAGGUAACCCGUUAAGCAUUCCGCCUGGGGAGUACGAGCGCAAGCUUAAAACUCAAAGGAAUAGACGGGGACCCGCACAAGCGGUGGAGCAUGUGGUUUAAUUCGACGAUAAGCGAGGAACCUCACCAAGGUUUGACAUGUAGCUGCAAGGUCUGGAAACAGAUCCGCCUUCGAGGGUGCUACACAGAUGCUGCAUGGUUGUCGUCAGCUCGUGUCGUGAGAUGUACCGUUAAGUCGGGAAACGAGCGCAACCCUUAUCCUAUGUUUUAUAUGUCAUAGGAGACUGCCCGUUUUAAAUGGGAGGAAGGUGGGAUGACGUCAAAUCAGCAUGGUUCUUACACCUUGGGCAACACACGUGCUACAAUGGGAGGUACAAAGGGACGCCAAACCGCGAGGUGGAGCAAAUCCCUAAAAACCUUCCUCAGUUCGGAUUGAAGGCUGCAAUUCGCCUUCAUGAAGCUGGAAUCGCUAGUA